CGUGCGUCGGAGGGCUCCCGAGGCUCUGGGGUCAGAUGGCAGUGCCGUUUGCCGUCUCUGCCGUGAGCAGCUCAGCCACAGAGCAAGGCCAGCGACGGUGGUUUCGUGCUCUGCGUUCCCGGCAUCGUUAGCGUGGAGGGGGGCACGGAGUACAGCGUACCUUCUCGAGGGACCGAGAGAUACGUGGACGCGGUUUCAUCUUCAGGAGCGAGAGUCUGAAGGAGAGAGGGACCAAGCCGACCAUGGGCGUUGACGGUGCCACUCGGGCCUCCUCUCUAAGCGAAGCAACUAUGAAGGAACGGCUCAGGUUGCAUAACGGGGGCCCCCAGGCGCGUGUGACCAAGCUGCCGCUUCCGGCUUGUACCUUUCGCCUCUUUGCAAAGCCACCCGGGAGUCAGCGGAAACGUGUGUGGUGGGCAAGGGAAGGGAAGAAGUGUGCUCCGAGGACAGGAGAGCGAUCUAGCCAGUGCCCGUGCAUCUGUCAAGCCAAAUGUGGUCUUUUGGGGGAAAAUCAGCUUCUGAAGAUGAGGUUUACAGCAGGAAUGACCUUCUACAACUUUGCGUAUCGUAUCUCCCCCUCCUCCAAAAAAUUAAUAAAACCAGCAGAGUCGCUU
Panthera uncia (snow leopard) is the source of this 614-nucleotide long non-coding RNA. RefSeq lists it as uncharacterized. The record is from RefSeq and is a predicted model, not a curated record. The transcript has 2 exons. NCBI's taxonomy places the organism in Eukaryota, Metazoa, Chordata, Mammalia, Carnivora, Felidae.